Salvelinus fontinalis (brook trout) is the source of this 981-nucleotide long non-coding RNA. RefSeq lists it as uncharacterized. The record is from RefSeq and is a predicted model, not a curated record. Lineage: Eukaryota; Metazoa; Chordata; Actinopteri; Salmoniformes; Salmonidae. The transcript has 2 exons.
UCUGAGAGAACAAAAGAGAGCAUUUACAUCCCUGUUAAAUUCUCAUUAGACUAACAACUCACUAUGUAACAAUUUACAAAUGAAUGGCUUCCUGUUCUGUGUGGAAUCAGAAAUUGUCUGGCUUGAACAGCUUAUUUACAUACAAGCAUGAAACAUACAUAGCCUAGACAAAACCUCUCCUUGGGGACCCCCAGAUCAGGUAUUUCACAAUUUUGUUGUAGUCCUAAACAAGCUCACCUGAUUCACAUAGUAAGGGCUUUUUGAUAAGUUGCCUAUUGGAAUCAGGUGUGCUAGCCUUGGAAUAGAUAAAAUACCUGGAAUGGCUGGCGUCCCCGGUAAAGAGGUUUGAGAACCACAGGCCUAGACAAUACAAGGAGAGUACAGAUCCCUCAAACUCAACUCUGGACCUCGAAGCCAGUUCCACUGCAUUGUUCCCCUCUUAAUAAGGGAUUGAUUUAGACCUGGUGGGUGCAGCUAGUUAUCAGAGAUAGAGAUGCUCACUUAGAAAUUCUUGUUUUGAAGGGGGAAAAAAAAAAAACAUAUCUCAGACUGGUCAAUAAAAAGAAAAGAUGAAGAUGGGCAAAAGAACAGACACUGGACAGAUGAACUCUGCCUAGAAGGCCAGCAUCCCAGAAUCGCCUCUUCACUGUUGACGUUGAGACUGGUGUUCUGCAGGUACUAUUUAAUGAAGCUGCCAGUUGGACUUGUGAGGCAUCUGUUUCUCAAACUAGACACGAAUGUACUGGCCCUCUUGCUCAGUUGUGCACCGGGGCCUCCCACUCCUCUUUCUAUUCUGGUUACAGCCAACAUUAAUAAUGUCUACAUUGUAUUUCUGAUCAAUUUGAUGUUAUUUUAAAUGGACAAAAAAAUUGCUUUUCUUUAAAAGAAAAGGACAUUAAGUGACCCCAAACUUUAACUGUAUGUGUGACAUAUAUAUCCUAAAAAUAUAUGGGGGAUUGGAAAUGUAGACAAUUACAUUGA